UGCCCAAGAGAUCGGGAUAACACCUGGAAACAGAUGCUAAUACCGGAUAACAACAGAUGAUGCCUAUCAACUGUUUAAAAGAUGGUUCUGCUAUCACUCUUGGAUGGACCUGCGGUGCAUUAGCUAGUUGGUAGGGUAACGGCCUACCAAGGCGAUGAUGCAUAGCCGAGUUGAGAGACUGAUGGCCACAUUGGGACUGAGACACGGCCCAAACUCCUACGGGAGGCAGCAGUG
Molecule: ribosomal RNA, 234 nt
Filed under: uncultured Lactobacillus sp.
Lineage: Bacteria; Bacillati; Bacillota; Bacilli; Lactobacillales; Lactobacillaceae
Description: partial 16S ribosomal RNA
Rfam family: Bacterial small subunit ribosomal RNA
Source: RNAcentral